This 603-nucleotide ribosomal RNA is filed under the name Triticum aestivum (bread wheat). Its description in RNAcentral is "partial small subunit ribosomal RNA". Lineage: Eukaryota; Viridiplantae; Streptophyta; Magnoliopsida; Poales; Poaceae. The record is from RNAcentral.
AUGGCCGGGUUCGCCACCUCGCGGCCGGCCUCCCUCGCGCUGUGCGGCUUCCUCAUCUUCCUCAACGUCUUCGCCUUCCUCCUCGCCGUCGGCGCCGAGCAGCGACGCAGCACCGGCAAGGUGGUGCCGGACGAGUACGACGAGCGCUCCUACUGCCUCUACGACACGGACGCCUCCACCGUCUACGGCGUCUGCGCCUUCUUCGUGCUCCUCCUGGCGCAGCUGCUGGUCACCGGCGUCACCCGCUGCCUCUGCUUCGGCCCGGCCCUCUCCUCCCGCGGAUGCGCCGUCGCCGCCUUCGCCGUCUCCUGGCUGACGUUCCUCGUCGCGGAGGCCUGCCUCGUCGGAGGAUCAGCGAAGAACGCGUACCACACCAAGUACCUUGGCUACUACACAAAGCAUGACCUGGUCAGCUGCGCCGCGCUCCGCAAGGGGGUGUUUGCGGCGGCUGCCGCCAUGAUGCUCAUCAACCUUGUGGCCUCCCUGGUGUACUACUGGAGCUACUCGAAGGCGGCGGACGGCGGGUUCAUCAAGCACCAGAACGAGGCCGGCGUGGGCAUGACCGACUACGGCCUCGACAGGGGCGGCGGCCCUGGGCUCUGA